GAGUUUGAUCAUGGCUCAGGAUGAACGCUGACAGAAUGCUUAACACAUGCAAGUCUACUUGAUCCUUCGGGUGAAGGUGGCGGACGGGUGAGUAACGCGUAAAGAACUUGCCUUACAGACUGGGACAACAUUUGGAAACGAAUGCUAAUACCGGAUAUUAUGAUUGGGUCGCAUGAUCUGGUUAUGAAAGCUAUAUGCGCUGUGAGAGAGCUUUGCGUCCCAUUAGUUAGUUGGUGAGGUAACGGCUCACCAAGACGAUGAUGGGUAGCCGGCCUGAGAGGGUGAACGGCCACAAGGGGACUGAGACACGGCCCUUACUCCUACGGGAGGCAGCAGUGGGGAAUAUUGGACAAUGGACCAAAAGUCUGAUCCAGCAAUUCUGUGUGCACGAUGAAGUUUUUCGGAAUGUAAAGUGCUUUCAGUUGGGAAGAAGUCAGUGACGGUACCAACAGAAGAAGCGACGGCUAAAUACGUGCCAGCAGCCGCGGUAAUACGUAUGUCGCAAGCGUUAUCCGGAUUUAUUGGGCGUAAAGCGCGUCUAGGCGGCUUAGUAAGUCUGAUGUGAAAAUGCGGGGCUCAACCCCGUAUUGCGUUGGAAACUGCUAAACUAGAGUACUGGAGAGGUAGGCGGAACUACAAGUGUAGAGGUGAAAUUCGUAGAUAUUUGUAGGAAUGCCGAUGGGGAAGCCAGCCUACUGGACAGAUACUGACGCUAAAGCGCGAAAGCGUGGGUAGCAAACAGGAUUAGAUACCCUGGUAGUCCACGCCGUAAACGAUGAUUACUAGGUGUUGGGGGUCGAACCUCAGCGCCCAAGCUAACGCGAUAAGUAAUCCGCCUGGGGAGUACGUACGCAAGUA
This 858-nucleotide ribosomal RNA is filed under the name uncultured bacterium. Its description in RNAcentral is "bacterial SSU rRNA". It matches the Rfam family "Bacterial small subunit ribosomal RNA", at positions 9 to 894 of the family's 1533-position model. The record is from RNAcentral.